GACGAACGCUGGCGGCGUGCUUAACACAUGCAAGUCGAACGGUAAGGCCCUUCGGGGUACACGAGUGGCGAACGGGUGAGUAACACGUGGGUGAUCUGCCCUGCACUUCGGGAUAAGCCUGGGAAACUGGGUCUAAUACCGGAUAGGACUCCGGACUGCAUGGUCUGGGGUGGAAAGCUUUUGCGGUGUGGGAUGGGCCCGCGGCCUAUCAGCUUGUUGGUGGGGUGAUGGCCUACCAAGGCGACGACGGGUAGCCGGCCUGGGAGGGUGACCGGCCACGCUGGGACUGAGAUACGGCCCAGACUCCUACGGGAGGCAGCAGUGGGGAAUAUUGCACAAUGGGCGCAAGCCUGAUGCAGCGACGCCGCGUGAGGGAUGACGGCCUUCGGGUUGUAAACCUCUUUCAGCAUCGACGAAGCGAAAGUGACGGUAGGUGCGGAAGAAGGACCGGCCAACUACGUGCCAGCAGCCGCGGUAA
This 478-nucleotide ribosomal RNA is filed under the name uncultured bacterium. Its description in RNAcentral is "partial 16S ribosomal RNA". It matches the Rfam family "Bacterial small subunit ribosomal RNA", at positions 28 to 523 of the family's 1533-position model. The record is from RNAcentral.